RNAcentral lists this ribosomal RNA (780 nucleotides) under Peterkaempfera griseoplana. RNAcentral's name for it is "bacterial SSU rRNA". It matches the Rfam family "Bacterial small subunit ribosomal RNA", at positions 81 to 873 of the family's 1533-position model. Lineage: Bacteria; Bacillati; Actinomycetota; Actinomycetes; Kitasatosporales; Streptomycetaceae. The record is from RNAcentral.
UUCGGGGUGGAUUAGUGGCGAACGGGUGAGUAACACGUGGGCAAUCUGCCCUUCACUCUGGGACAAGCCCUGGAAACGGGGUCUAAUACCGGAUAACACUCUGUCCCGCAUGGGACGGGGUUAAAAGCUCCGGCGGUGAAGGAUGAGCCCGCGGCCUAUCAGCUUGUUGGUGGGGUAAUGGCCUACCAAGGCGACGACGGGUAGCCGGCCUGAGAGGGCGACCGGCCACACUGGGACUGAGACACGGCCCAGACUCCUACGGGAGGCAGCAGUGGGGAAUAUUGCACAAUGGGCGAAAGCCUGAUGCAGCGACGCCGCGUGAGGGAUGACGGCCUUCGGGUUGUAAACCUCUUUCAGCAGGGAAGAAGCGAAAGUGACGGUACCUGCAGAAGAAGCGCCGGCUAACUACGUGCCAGCAGCCGCGGUAAUACGUAGGGCGCAAGCGUUGUCCGGAAUUAUUGGGCGUAAAGAGCUCGUAGGCGGCUUGUCACGUCGGAUGUGAAAGCCCGGGGCUUAUUCCCGGGUCUGCAUUCGAUACGGGCUAGCUAGAGUGUGGUAGGGGAGAUCGGAAUUCCUGGUGUAGCGGUGAAAUGCGCAGAUAUCAAGAGGAACACCGGUGGCGAAGGCGGAUCUCUGGGCCAUUACUGACGCUGAGGAGCGAAAGCGUGGGGAGCGAACAGGAUUAGAUACCCUGGUAGUCCACGCCGUAAACGUUGGGAACUAGGUGUUGGCGACAUUCCACGUCGUCGGUGCCGCAGCUAACGCAUUAAGUUCCCCGCC